This 535-nucleotide ribosomal RNA is filed under the name uncultured bacterium. RNAcentral's name for it is "bacterial SSU rRNA". It matches the Rfam family "Bacterial small subunit ribosomal RNA", at positions 355 to 896 of the family's 1533-position model. The record is from RNAcentral.
UGGGGAAUCUUGCGCAAUGGGCGAAAGCCUGACGCAGCAACGCCGCGUGAGGGACGAAGUCCUUCGGGAUGUAAACCUCUUUUAGGAGGGACGAAAUGGUCCGUAAGGACAGCUGACGGUACCUCCAGAAAAAGCACCGGCUAACUCCGUGCCAGCAGCCGCGGUAAUACGGAGGGUGCAAGCGUUAUCCGGAAUCACUAGGCAUAAAGGGCACGUAGGCGUUUCUGUAAGUCGGUUGUGAAAGUCUUUUGCUUAACGGAAGAAAGUCAAUCGAUACUGCAGGGAUUGAGAGUAAGAGAGGAGAGCGGAAUUCCUAGAGGAGCGGUGAAAUGCGUAGAUUUUAGGAAGAACACCCAUGGCGAAGGCAGCUCUCUGGAUUAUUUCUGACGCUGAGGUGCGAAAGCGUGGGUAGCAAACGGGAUUAGAUACCCCGGUAGUCCACGCCUUAAACGUUGGAAACUAGGUGUUGGUCAUUUGACCGGCGCCGCAGUAAACGCGAUAAGUUUCCCGCCUGGGGAGUACGGUCGCAAGGCUG